GCGUGGGAGAAGGCUUGGUUGUAACCUUGGGAGAGACGUCCAGAAUAGCACCGGUAACUCUGCCACGCCCGUACAGGUGCAGCUUAUCGGAAUUACUGGGCGUAGCGCAGGUAUAAGACGGUGAAAUCCCGGCUACCUGAAUGCACUGGACUGAGUACGAGGGAUGGAAUCCGUGUACAGUAAAUGCGUAAUAUGGAGAACACCGUGCAAGGCCUGCCGUGGGGAGCAAACAGGAUUAGAUACCCUGGUAGUCCACGCCCUAACGAUGAACUGGUGUUUACAAUAACGCGUGAAGUCGCCUGGGGUCGGCCGCAAGGUAAAAAGGAUGACGGGCGCAAGCGGUGGAUGGGUUAAUUCAACAAAACUCCCUGACGUAUGGUGAUGC
This 385-nucleotide ribosomal RNA is filed under the name uncultured bacterium. RNAcentral describes it as "partial 16S ribosomal RNA". The record is from RNAcentral.